CAAUAGCGUAUAUUAAAGUUGUUGCGGUUAAAAGCUCGUAGUUGGAUUUCUGUCUAGAGCGACCGGUCCACCUUUCAGGUUGGUAUCAGGUAUGUUCUGGGCUUUUUCCUGGGUGACAUGGCUGCGCCUCGUUGUGCGGCCUGUUGUCUGGGUCUUUUACUUUGAGGAAAUUAGAGUGUUUCAAGCAGGCGCUUGCCUUGAAUAUAUUAGCAUGGAAUAAUACAAUAGGACUUCGGUUCUGUUUUGUUGGUUUCUGGAGCUGAGGUAAUGAUUAAUAGGGAUAGUUGGGGGCAUUCGUAUUUAACUGUCAGAGGUGAAAUUCUUGGAUUUGUUAAAGACGAACUACUGCGAAAGCAUUUGCCAAGGAUGUUUUCAUUGAUCAAGAACGAAAGUUAGGGGAUCGAAGACGAUUAGAUACCGU
This 421-nucleotide ribosomal RNA is filed under the name uncultured eukaryote. RNAcentral describes it as "bacterial SSU rRNA". It matches the Rfam family "Eukaryotic small subunit ribosomal RNA", at positions 592 to 1018 of the family's 1831-position model. The record is from RNAcentral.